GACGAACGCUGGCGGCGUGCUUAACACAUGCAAGUCGAACGGACAGGUCCUGCUUUUGUGGGGUGCUCGAGUGGCGAACGGGUGCGUAACACGUGGGAACCCUGACCUUGCCUUUGGGAUAACUUGGGGAAACUGGGGCUAAUACUGGAUAGGAGCUCCUGCUGUAUGGUGGGGGUUGGAAAGUUUUGGCGGUUGGGGAUGGACUCGCGGCAUAUUAGCCCGUCGGUGGGGUAGCGGGUUACCCAGGUUUUGACGGGUCGCCGGCCUGAGAGGGUGACCGGCCCCAUUGGGACUGAGGUGCGGGCCGGACUCCUACGGGAGGCAUCAAUGGGGGAUAGAGCACAAUGGGCGGAAGCCGUGUGCAGCAACGCCGCGUGCGGGAUGACGGCCUUCGGAGUGUAAACCGCGUGCGCCUGUGACGAAGCGUGAGUGACGGUAAUGGAUAAAGAAGCACCGGCUAACUACGUG
This 468-nucleotide ribosomal RNA is filed under the name uncultured bacterium. RNAcentral's name for it is "partial 16S ribosomal RNA". It matches the Rfam family "Bacterial small subunit ribosomal RNA", at positions 28 to 507 of the family's 1533-position model. The record is from RNAcentral.